GCUCUUGUAGCAUACUGGUAAUGCACCCGACAAUAAUGAUGAAUUUGGGAGAAGUUCUUCGGGGAUACUGGGUUUGAAUCCCAGCGAGAGCA
Non-coding RNA from Mycena maculata, 92 nucleotides. NCBI's taxonomy places the organism in Eukaryota, Fungi, Basidiomycota, Agaricomycetes, Agaricales, Mycenaceae. The record is from the annotation of a GenBank genome assembly.